RNAcentral lists this ribosomal RNA (709 nucleotides) under Absidia repens. Its description in RNAcentral is "eukaryotic LSU rRNA". It matches the Rfam family "Eukaryotic large subunit ribosomal RNA", at positions 42 to 648 of the family's 3401-position model. The record is from RNAcentral. Lineage: Eukaryota; Fungi; Mucoromycota; Mucoromycetes; Mucorales; Cunninghamellaceae.
AUCAAUAAGCGGAGGAAAAGAAAAUAACAAUGAUUCCCCUAGUAACGGCGAGUGAACAGGGAAAAGCUCAAAGUUGGAACCUCCUGGCCCUAGGCCUGGCGGAUUGUAAACUAAAGCUCUCGAGUAGUUCGGCUAGCCUGGUAAAAAAGUUCUCUGGAAAGGGACGACAUGGAGGGUGAAAUCCCCGUCUUUGGCCAGAGCAUAGUCCAACGUUUGCUUGGGAGUGAAGAGUCAGGUUGUUUGGUAUUGCAGCCUAAAGCUGGAGGUAAAUCUCUCCUAAAGCUAAAUAUUGACGAAAGACCGAUAGCGAACAAGUACCGUGAGGGAAAGAUGAAAAGCACUUUGAAAAGAGGGUCAAAAAGUACGUGAAAUUGCUGAAAGGGAACCGUAUGAAAUCAGCUUGUCUCUUUGGUAAUCAGCCUGGGCUUCGGCCUGGGUGCACUUGCCAGUGAGUACAGCCUGCGACAAUUCGGGGCGAAGGAAAAAAUCAGGGGGAACGUGGCCUCAGCUUCCGGCUGAGGUGUUAUAGCCCUUUGAAAAAUACUUUGCCCUGGAUUGAGGACUGCAGCGAGCCGUUUGGGAUAGGCUAGGGGCGCUUUGACUUGGCUGGGAGGAAAUCUCUAUCUCUGGUAGUGUUCUUCCAGUCGGGCUGAACCCGCCCUUUUUACUUUUAUCUCGCUUAGGUCGUAGGCAUAAUGAUUUAUAUGAC